This 253-nucleotide ribosomal RNA is filed under the name uncultured bacterium. RNAcentral describes it as "partial 16S ribosomal RNA". It matches the Rfam family "Bacterial small subunit ribosomal RNA", at positions 524 to 776 of the family's 1533-position model. The record is from RNAcentral.
UACGUAGGGUGCAAGCGUUGUCCGGAUUUAUUGGGCGUAAAGAGCUCGUAGGCGGUCUGUCGCGUCGGAUGUGAAAACCCAGGGCUCAACCUCGGGCCUGCAGUGGGUACGGGCAGACUAGAGUGCGGUAGGGGAGAUUGGAAUUCCUGGUGUAGCGGUGGAAUGCGCAGAUAUCAGGAGGAACACCAAUGGCGAAGGCAGAUCUCUGGGCCGUAACUGACGCUGAGGAGCGAAAGCAUGGGGAGCGAACAGG